This 234-nucleotide ribosomal RNA is filed under the name uncultured bacterium. RNAcentral's name for it is "partial 16S ribosomal RNA". It matches the Rfam family "Bacterial small subunit ribosomal RNA", at positions 100 to 334 of the family's 1533-position model. The record is from RNAcentral.
CGGGACGGGUGAGUAAUGUCUGGGAAACGUGCCUGAUGGAGGGGGAUAACUACUGGAAACGGUAGCUAAUACCGCAUAACGUCGCAAGACCAAAGAGGGGGACCUUCGGGCCUCUUGCCAUCGGAUGUGCCCAGAUGGGAUUAGCUAGUAGGUGGGGUAACGGCUCACCUAGGCGACGAUCCCUAGCUGGUCUGAGAGGAUGACCAGCCACACUGGAACUGAGACACGGCCCAG